UAUCACAAAAAUAUAUCUUUUAGUAAAAUUAACCAAAGUCAGAGCAGAGAUGAAGAUAGGCUCCUUGCAUGACAUACAGUACUAUGAAGUGCUGACAACCAGGACAGGGGAAAUGAGCCAAACCACAAUCUUUGAGGACCGCUUCACAUACCCACCAUGCGCUGAUUCUCUGGCAGAGCACCCGUACCACUUGCCCAGAACAGCUCUAUAUAACCGAUAAAGAAAGAAGUACCCGGCACCAUGCUGAUGGCUGGGCUGGCUCCAGCAGGGAAAGGCCAUGCAUGGGGUCAAGGAAGGAGGAGUCUGCUUUUCAGACAGGUUGAGGACAUGAACACCAAAUACCGGAAUAUAUUUUACUCCAACAAGAAGCAGAGGACAGUUACCUGACGCUCAGCUGUCCGGAGAUGGGCAGAGCUGGAUUGAAAUGCCGGAGGAAAUAAGGUGUGUGGCUGAUGUCAGCUUUUGCUGGAAGACGCGCCCUGACAGGGUGCAUGAAUACAGAAAGUGACAGCAAAGGAAGUUCUGCAGACCUGCUCUGAGGCUUUGUGACACUGGCCAGGUAGCGUUAAAGAUG
Gallus gallus (chicken) is the source of this 574-nucleotide long non-coding RNA. NCBI's taxonomy places the organism in Eukaryota, Metazoa, Chordata, Aves, Galliformes, Phasianidae. The record is from Ensembl.